CACGUAGGGCGCAAGCGUUGUCCGGAAUUAUUGGGCGUAAAGAGCUCGUAGGCGGUCUGUUACGUCUGCUGUGAAAACCCGGGGCUUAACCCUGGGCUUGCAGUGGAUACGGGCAGACUAGAGGCAGAUAGGGGAGAAUGGAAUUCCCGGUGUAGCGGUGAAAUGCGCAGAUAUCAGGAGGAACACCGGUGGCGAAGGCGGGUCUCUGGGCCGAUACUGACGCUGAGGAGCGAAAGCGUGGGGAGCGAACAGG
This 253-nucleotide ribosomal RNA is filed under the name uncultured bacterium. RNAcentral describes it as "partial 16S ribosomal RNA". It matches the Rfam family "Bacterial small subunit ribosomal RNA", at positions 524 to 776 of the family's 1533-position model. The record is from RNAcentral.